AUUGAACGCUGGCGGCAUGCCUAACACAUGCAAGUCGAACGGGGGUAGCGAUACCCUAGUGGCGGACGGGUGAGGAACGCGUAGGAAUCGGCCCACGAGUGGGGGACAACCUGGGGAAACUCAGGCUAAUACCGCAUGAGCUCGGGAGAGGAAAGCGGGGGAUCUUCGGACCUCGCGCUGGUGGAUGAGCCUACGUCCGAUUAGCUGGUUGGUGAGGUAAAGGCUCACCAAGGCGACGAUCGGUAGCGGGUCUGAGAGGACGACCCGCCACACUGGGACUGAGACACGGCCCAGACUCCUACGGGAGGCAGCAGUGGGGAAUAUUGGACAAUGGGCGCAAGCCUGAUCCAGCAAUGCCGCGUGGGUGAAGACGGCCUGCGGGUUGUAAAGCCCUUUAGGCGGGGAGGAACGACGGAGCGUUAAUACCGUUUCGAAGUGACGUUACCCGCGGAAUAAGCACCGGCUAACUCCGUG
RNAcentral lists this ribosomal RNA (474 nucleotides) under uncultured bacterium. RNAcentral describes it as "bacterial SSU rRNA". It matches the Rfam family "Bacterial small subunit ribosomal RNA", at positions 29 to 507 of the family's 1533-position model. The record is from RNAcentral.